GGGCUCUUGGGCAGGCCCCAAAACGACAGUUUCGUCUGGUACUCCCCCGCGUGCACGUGAUUUCUUCCCCGCUCGCUCCCUCCCGUCCACUCGCGCAUCACUUUUCCCCAUCAGCCGCCGCUAGGGUUUGCAGCCCGCCGCCAAUCCGCCGCUCGACUUUCUUGUGCGGGUGUCCGGCGACUCCCAGGAAGGUGCGACCUAUGACCCCUGCAAAUCGCCUUGCGAGGCGCGACCCUUGGUGCCACGCGCGUCCAGCAAUUCCCACGGCUUGGUGCGACCUCUGGCUCGGCGACUCUCCCAUCGAAGAUGGUGUUUACCGAUGACGAAGAUGAUUUUCUUGAGCAAUGGUGGGAGAAAGAAGAAUCGGAUGAUGAUGAUUUGGUUGCGCUGCUGCUAAUUCUUGCUGAAGAUGAAGAAAGGAGUCAUAAGAAGCGUCGUCCUGGUUCAAUGCCUGGUCGUCAAACGGUGCCAAGAGACAUGCAUGCUGGUAACUUGCGCAUUGUUGCAGAUUAUUUUGCGGACCCACCAAUUUACAAUGAUAAAUUCUUUCGGAGGAGAUUUAGAAUGUCUAAACCAUUGUUUCUGAGAAUUGUCCAAGGAGUCGAGGCACGCCAAAUGCAGUAGGUUUGCUUGGAGCAACUGCCCUACAGAAAGUGGUUGGAGCUUUUAGGAUGUUAGCUUAUGAUGUUCCUGCAGAUUCCAUGGAUGAGGUUGUGAGAAUUGCAGAGAGCACUAUGAUUGAGGCCUUCAAACACUUUGUUCAAGCAGUGGUUGAUGUUUUCGGUGAGCAAUACUUGAGGCCACCCAUUUGUAUUUUCCAUUUAUUAUUUUAAGCAUGGUGCUUUAUUGAUAUGGUUUAAAUAAAUUAUUAUAUAAUAUAAUGUUCUCAAA
Sorghum bicolor (sorghum) is the source of this 891-nucleotide long non-coding RNA. RefSeq lists it as uncharacterized. The transcript has 2 exons. The record is from RefSeq and is a predicted model, not a curated record. Lineage: Eukaryota; Viridiplantae; Streptophyta; Magnoliopsida; Poales; Poaceae.